Long non-coding RNA from Patella vulgata (common limpet), 396 nucleotides. RefSeq lists it as uncharacterized. The transcript has 4 exons. The record is from RefSeq and is a predicted model, not a curated record. NCBI's taxonomy places the organism in Eukaryota, Metazoa, Mollusca, Gastropoda, Patellidae.
CUCGUCUAGAGAACGUAUCAAUCCAGGAAAAUGUUCAAACUAAUCAUUGCGUGCGCUGUUCUAUCCUACGUGGCUGCUCAAGUAAGCCAUACCCAGCAUCCCCAUACUCAGCAUCCCCAUACCCAGCACCCCCAUACCCAGCACCCGCAUUCUACCCAUGCUCCUAUUAUCCACGAUAACUUCCACUUUUUCCACGAUGCUGCGGAUAACAAAAUGAUCAUCAGAACGCAGACAGAAUGCUACGUAUUCGACCUCAACGCUGAUCAACAAAAGGCCAUCACCACACCAAUAGGCCAAAGAGCUACUGAGCUUGCUUUGGUUGCCAUGAUUGGCACUGGUAAACAGACACCAAUGAAAGAUGCUGACAUUACUCACCGAAUCUCCAGGGACUGCGGG